Molecule: non-coding RNA, 610 nt
Organism: Oryctolagus cuniculus (rabbit)
Lineage: Eukaryota; Metazoa; Chordata; Mammalia; Lagomorpha; Leporidae
Source: RefSeq, a predicted model, not a curated record
GCACAGGGGGAGGGCAGGUGUGCACAUGGUGUGUGUGCAGGGGAGGGCAGGUGUGCACAUGGUGUGUGUGCAGGGGAGGGCAGGUGUGCACAUGGUGUGUGUGCAGGGGAGGGCAGGUGUGCACAUGGUGUGUGUGCAGGACAGGGCAGGUGUGCACAUGGUGUGUGUGCAGGGGAGGGCAGGUGUGCACAUGGCUGUGUGUGCAGGGGAGGGCAGGUGUGCACAUGGUGUGUGUGCAGGGGAGGGCAGGUGUGCUCCUGUGUGUGUGUUCAGGGGAGGGCAGGUGUGCCUAUUUAGAAGGCGGGCCCACGGGGUCUGCCAUAGGUCUCUUGGUGAUGGUAUUUUCUCUGGGGACAUUGCUGGGCCACCUUGCCAGGCAGCUGUGUUCUGGCCCCCACCACGUGCACACUCUGCACAGCCUGAUGACCUCCGUUGUCAGCCCGUGAGCUAGCAGAGCAGGGACCCUGUCCUGUUGCCCGGCGAGGGGCAGGAGGCUGUCCCAAGCUCUGAUGCAGGGGAGUCAGGGGAGGGUGGAUGGUCCCAGCUUCCCUCCCACCUCCCUAGCCCCAGGAUCCUGGCUACCUGGGGCCACUCAGCAUUGCCUGUGCCU